RNAcentral lists this ribosomal RNA (1382 nucleotides) under uncultured bacterium. Its description in RNAcentral is "bacterial SSU rRNA". It matches the Rfam family "Bacterial small subunit ribosomal RNA", at positions 18 to 1395 of the family's 1533-position model. The record is from RNAcentral.
CCUGGCUCACGAUGAACGCUAGCUACAGGCUUAACACAUGCAAGUCGAGGGGCAGCAUGGUCUUAGCUUGCUAAGGCCGAUGGCGACCGGCGCACGGGUGAGUAACACGUAUCCAACCUGCCGUCUACUCUUGGACAGCCUUCUGAAAGGAAGAUUAAUACAAGAUGGCAUCAUGAGUCCGCAUGUUCACAUGAUUAAAGGUAUUCCGGUAGACGAUGGGGAUGCGUUCCAUUAGAUAGUAGGCGGGGUAACGGCCCACCUAGUCUUCGAUGGAUAGGGGUUCUGAGAGGAAGGUCCCCCACAUUGGAACUGAGACACGGUCCAAACUCCUACGGGAGGCAGCAGUGAGGAAUAUUGGUCAAUGGGCGCAGGCCUGAACCAGCCAAGUAGCGUGAAGGAUGACUGCCCUAUGGGUUGUAAACUUCUUUUAUAAAGGAAUAAAGUCGGGUAUGCAUACCCGUUUGCAUGUACUUUAUGAAUAAGGAUCGGCUAACUCCGUGCCAGCAGCCGCGGUAAUACGGAGGAUCCGAGCGUUAUCCGGAUUUAUUGGGUUUAAAGGGAGCGUAGAUGGAUGUUUAAGUCAGUUGUGAAAGUUUGCGGCUCAACCGUAAAAUUGCAGUUGAUACUGGAUAUCUUGAGUGCAGUUGAGGCAGGCGGAAUUCGUGGUGUAGCGGUGAAAUGCUUAGAUAUCACGAAGAACUCCGAUUGCGAAGGCAGCCUGCUAAGCUGCAACUGACAUUGAGGCUCGAAAGUGUGGGUAUCAAACAGGAUUAGAUACCCUGGUAGUCCACACGGUAAACGAUGAAUACUCGCUGUUUGCGAUAUACGGCAAGCGGCCAAGCGAAAGCGUUAAGUAUUCCACCUGGGGAGUACGCCGGCAACGGUGAAACUCAAAGGAAUUGACGGGGGCCCGCACAAGCGGAGGAACAUGUGGUUUAAUUCGAUGAUACGCGAGGAACCUUACCCGGGCUUAAAUUGCAGAUGAAUUACGGUGAAAGCCGUAAGCCGCAAGGCAUCUGUGAAGGUGCUGCAUGGUUGUCGUCAGCUCGUGCCGUGAGGUGUCGGCUUAAGUGCCAUAACGAGCGCAACCCUUGUUGUCAGUUACUAACAGGUUCCGCUGAGGACUCUGACAAGACUGCCAUCGUAAGAUGUGAGGAAGGUGGGGAUGACGUCAAAUCAGCACGGCCCUUACGUCCGGGGCUACACACGUGUUACAAUGGGGGGUACAGAGGGUCGCUACCACGCGAGUGGAUGCCAAUCCCAAAAACCUCUCUCAGUUCGGACUGGAGUCUGCAACCCGACUCCACGAAGCUGGAUUCGCUAGUAAUCGCGCAUCAGCCACGGCGCGGUGAAUACGUUCCCGGGCCUUGUACACACCGCCC